UACGUAGGGUGCAAGCGUUGUCCGGAAUUAUUGGGCGUAAAGAGCUCGUAGGCGGUUUGUCGCGUCUGCUGUGAAAUCCCGAGGCUCAACCUCGGGCCUGCAGUGGGUACGGGCAGACUAGAGUGCGGUAGGGGAGAUUGGAACUCCUGGUGUAGCGGUGGAAUGCGCAGAUAUCAGGAAGAACACCGGUGGCGAAGGCAGAUCUCUGGGCCGUAACUGACGCUGAGGAGCGAAAGCAUGGGGAGCGAACAGG
Molecule: ribosomal RNA, 253 nt
Filed under: uncultured bacterium
Lineage: Bacteria
Description: partial 16S ribosomal RNA
Rfam family: Bacterial small subunit ribosomal RNA
Source: RNAcentral